GCUAAUUUUCAUGAGGUUAGAGAGCCAGUUGAUAAUACAUGAAUAAUUCAAACUCUCCCAUUCUUUCCAUUUGGCCUCCUGCCCCCUAUUUAUACAAUAGAAUUUGUCAUUUUUUUGGAUGUGUUAGAUUUCCUCUUUGUUAUUGCGAAAUGAUUACAAUCACCCUCUAUAUAAUCCUGACAAGGCUCCCUGCAAGACCAAUAGCCCUGUGGAAGAGAGAGGCUGCUAAGACACCAUGGUAAGUGACAGGUUCAUGUUGGAAAGGGAAGAAAAGGAACACUGCUGGUUUUUUGGGAUGAGGGCAUUUGUGUUUCUGCUGAAAGCUUCCAGUGCUCCCUGGGGCUGCUUGUUGAUUUUCCUCCUGGGCUCCCUGAAGAGAGGCAGCAUGAUAUAGUGGAUGGGCAGCUGUCCUGGGAGUCAAGAAGUCCAGGAUUCUAGUCCUACCUCUCAUAUGUAUCAUUUGUCAAUAUCCUGCUUUACUAUCUUAGGCUAAAAGCAGCCAAAUAUUUCAUUUAUCUUGGCAGAGAUAGUUCCCCCUCAGUCCUCUAUUAUCCAUUGAAUAUUAUAUAUGUUAUUUUUUUUAAAAAAGCAAUUGUAAACUUUCAAUUGGCCAGGAUAGACCUUACCUAAAGUCCUUACCAUAAUGCCCCUCUUCCAGACCCCCAGCCCAGCAAGAAUCUGCCCACUUCCCCAAUAUGCCUGGACCCAUUGUAGGCAGUUCUUACUCUGUGUCGGUAUCACCUUCCCUGUCCAUUUCCCUCCUUUUAUCCCAAACCUCUUUUCUCUCCAGAGAAAUACGUUCCUAGUAGAAGAAUUCAUAGUCCUGAUCUGACUUCAAUUAUGACAUAUGAAUGGAAUGAGAGCCUUUAUGAAGUGACGAAUACAAGGGAAGCAGGAAAAUCUGGAGAAAUCUGAAUGAUCAGAUGCAGAGUGACGAUGGCAGGAAAAUAAUGUCGAUAAGUAGUAGAGAAAUGACAGAAAAGAAGAAAAUUCUAAAAAGUCUUCUAAACAAAGAUGAAAUGCGAUCAUCAAUGUUGUUUUCAAAGUAUAGAAGACAAAAUAUUGCAGAAAUCGUAAUCAUGACUUUAAUGAAUGGGACACUUCCUGGAUUACUGAUGACUGUGAAAUGUGUCAUUGUUCCCCGAAAGGAAUAGAUUGCACUAGCGUUAUUUUAAGGCCUAUGGGAUAUGACAAAAAGAAAUGCAAGGAAGUUUUCAAUGCAGAAGAGUGUAUUUACAAAGCUGUAGAGAAAAAUAAUCCCUCUCAAAGCUGUAAAGUCUCAAAAUAUAUUAUUUAGUCCUUCUACCUCCUUCUGUUUUUGCUGCCAAAGUCACCAUCUCCUAAUGGAACUUGUGCUCACAUGAAAUAAUGACUCUCUACUUGGAAGUCGGAACAGAAGACUGUGAGCUAUGUGGGCUGGACCUUGGAUUUCCAUUCUCUUGAAGGUCUUGUCAUGUCUCAGGCACUCUGAUUCAGACCACAGAGUGCCACCUCUCGGCCUCCUGAAAGUUGUAUAAGUACCUCCUGUAACCUGUUGUCUAAUGAAUAACUCAAGAAAAUAUAUGUUCCCCUAGAAUGAAAUGGAAUUCUGCUCUUUUCCCUUAUAGCAAUCGACAUCCAAAGUCAUUAUGGUGGUGGGCGAUUUCAUUAUGUUCUUUCUCAGAGGUAAUCCCUAGGAAGUACUCUUUGGGCUAUUAGACUGAAUUUUUUUUGUUUUUGUUUUUAUGUCUACUCAGCUCCCAGAUCUGUGUUUGGGAAUCCUGGCACCACAAACCUGGUAGAAUCAGGAUUCUAAAGAAUGUAGGAGAAAAUGGAAAGAGGGAUAUCAUGUUCAAGGUGGUAUAUUUACCAAUGAUGACUUUCAGUUGGGUAGCAAGACAAAAGAUAUCAUGUACGUGUAGGAAUGAUAGGAUCCUUAUGUUGUAGGGAUUGAUAGGUCCCCUACAUUAUAGAGACUCCGAGUAAAGAAUCAAAUACAUUGAAGAUACCUGAAUGAACUAGAAAUGACCUAGGGCUGAACCUGGAAUAUGUUUCAUCAGCAGAACAUGUUAUGAGAUGUCCUCUUAUGUAUGUUUUCCUGCAUCUUAUCGAUAUCCCCGAAUACUGCAAUCACAGAGUACAUUGUACCCACUAGAUGAAUAUCUUGAGAGGAUGCUUUGUUAUCCUCAAGACUCUCUGUGAUUGGCUAUAUGUUCCUAUGAACAUAUUACAUAAAAUCAUGUGGAUGGAUAUGUUUAGGUAGGAAUCCAACUGUGUAUAAAUAUCAUUACUCCCUUCAAUAAAGUUCCCUUUGAUUGCCA
Monodelphis domestica (gray short-tailed opossum) is the source of this 2300-nucleotide long non-coding RNA. The record is from Ensembl. NCBI's taxonomy places the organism in Eukaryota, Metazoa, Chordata, Mammalia, Didelphimorphia, Didelphidae.